GCAGAGUAGACUGGCUUUUGUUCUUUUCUCACUACAAUUCUGCCCUUAAGAGUCCAGCACUAAGAACUUUAACUGGAUACCGGUCCUCAUUGGGUUCCAGUCAAGAACAUCAGACUGAUCAAACAUCGAACAACCAGCUGGUCAAAACUCAGAAAAGAAUUAAUGGCCUUGAAGAGGUGGUUUGCAUUUCCUAGAGACGUCAAAGUCAUAAAAGAUAAAUCUUCUGUCCUUGGGGAACCGGUUGAUCAUAUGUCCAGAGGUGGUCGCUACUGUGCUCCCUUUCCUUUUGAUGACAUUCUUCUUGCUCUAGACUGGCAACACCCAGACCCCAGCCAGUUUGUAACAACUUUUGAACGUGAGCUUUCUGCAGGUCUGUUAGUUUCCUUUCCCUGUUUGGCCUGUCACACAGGGCAUCAUCAAGCGUGGACUCUCUGCGAGUGUCAAAGGUGUGGGUGCCUUUGGUAUUGUGCAUCUCAUAAAAGAAGAGCUGACUGUCGGCACUGUGACCCUUUAAGGAGCAGUCGGAAUAAUAUACAAAUUAAACAGUUGGUGUGUGGGCAUAAAUAUGGUUUGUCUGAACAUCAGGAAUUGUCACGUGAGCAGUGGCUUGCCAUUGUUAGUAAGUUUUGUAGUGUUAGUUCUAAUUCUUCCCACAGCAGCGAUGGGGAGUCCUCUAUCACCAAUGGCUCAAGGUAGUAUUUGGCUUACACUAGCAAAGGCUUUCUUAGUAUUAGUACUUUUUUACUUGGCCUGGUUAUCAGCCAAAAACAAAUGUAUGGAUAACUUCAGCCAGUUUAAAAGGACAAGAUACUUUAUGGUUGGCUAUGGCCUCUCCUGAAAAGCCAUUUACUACUUGUUUCAUUGGUUUACCUUUAGAUACAUGGCCACAUCCCCCUUCAGCUCAUGUUCUUCAUUUUGAGAUUAAUGUUGAUGCAUAGAACCAAUGGAUCCUGUAUCUCCCUCGUGCAGCCCCUGCAGUUUGGGGUGACUCUUGCUGUUGACAGCAAACACAUCCAUGGUUGUACAACAUAAAUUUCCACAGAGAGGGAAGCACAGUAUUCAUGUGUUUACCCCUGAUUGUGAUGAUAAUAUCAUCUUUUGGUAGCUACAACAGUGUUGGGCUGUCUCCUUUUUGCACCAGGAAUAGCAGCUGGAAAGACACUGGGAUUGUUAAAUAAGCUAGGCUGCUGGUUAGCUCGACAAACUAAUGCUGCUUCACUCACUUUAACAGGAUUGUUAACCAAUAUUUAUUCAAUAGGCAUGUUACAUUGCAGAAUCAAGUUGCUAUUGAUCUUUUGCUUUUAGUUAAUAGACAUGGAUGUGAAGAUUUUGAUGGAAUGUGUUAUAUGAACCUUUCUGAUCACUCACAAUAGAUUCAUGCAAGUAUUAAAGCUUUACAAGAUAAUGUAGCCAAAUUAAAAAUAGUAGAUGGAGCUGAUUGGUUUAGCGACCUUUUUGGAAACUGGGGUAUCACUGGAUGGGUUAAAACUUUAAGAUGGGAAUGUUUGUAUUAGGGAUGCUAUUAAUUAUAGUGAUAUAUCUGCCUUGCUUGAGUCAAUGUAUUCAGAGAUUGAUUAAUAAAUCAAUAAAAUAAUGAUUUUAGAACCGAAAGGGGGAAAUGUAGAUGAUUACACAGCUACAGAAGCUGAGUUGGGUAGCACCGCAGACCUCCUGGCCCUGGUACAGUGGAAGCCAUGGGAGAGAGAAACUCAGGACAAGAACAAGAAGUGAUCACUUUGCACAAGACAUCAUGUGUGAUUGCUGUGGUGGACAAGGAUGUUAACGAGGACUUGAUAACUGAAAAGAUUAUGUUGCUUAAGGGUACAGGAGCAAGGGGGUCUGAGUGGAAAAUUUUGUGUGGAAGUUAGAGAACUCUAAAUUCUGGUGAUUAGUGUAAUA
RNAcentral lists this long non-coding RNA (1899 nucleotides) under Taeniopygia guttata (zebra finch). RNAcentral describes it as "lncRNA (ENSTGUG00000019768.1)". Lineage: Eukaryota; Metazoa; Chordata; Aves; Passeriformes; Estrildidae. The record is from RNAcentral.